Molecule: ribosomal RNA, 254 nt
Filed under: uncultured bacterium
Lineage: Bacteria
Description: partial 16S ribosomal RNA
Rfam family: Bacterial small subunit ribosomal RNA
Source: RNAcentral
UACGUAGGGUGCAAGCGUUGUCCGGAAUUAUUGGGCGUAAAGAGCUCGUAGGCGGUCCGUCACGUCGGCCGUGAAAACCUGCAGCUUAACUGUGGGCUUGCGGUCGAUACGGGCAUCACUGGAGUUCGGCAGGGGAGACUGGAAUUCCUGGUGUAGCGGUGAAAUGCGCAGAUAUCAGGAGGAACACCGGUGGCGAAGGCGGGUCUCUGGGCCGAUACUGACGCUGAGGAGCGAAAGCGUGGGGAGCGAACAGG